CACUCCACAGGUCUGAUGUAGGCGAUGCUGGCCCAGGAAGUUCUGUGCAUGGUGGCACCCCUGUGACACCCAUGGAAGGCCAUGUCUGAUCUCCAGUUCCACAGAGAUCCUGAAGAGACAGAAAGGGAAGAGCAGCUGCUGCGGAAAAGGUUGUGGCCAGGGAGGAAUUUCAGGGAGAAUGGACUGCUCCAGUUCCUGAGUUGACUGCUCUCCAAGCUGAGGCUGCAGACUGGGCUAUAGGUGUAGGUGGCCUCUGGGCCCAUUCAGCUGAUCCCUACUGAAGUCUAAGGGGCUCAGUCUCCCACUGAAGGCUGAUCUGCAGCUCCCACUGCCCAG
RNAcentral lists this long non-coding RNA (336 nucleotides) under Homo sapiens (human). Its description in RNAcentral is "non-protein coding lnc-ETS2-5:1". Lineage: Eukaryota; Metazoa; Chordata; Mammalia; Primates; Hominidae. The record is from RNAcentral.